RNAcentral lists this ribosomal RNA (228 nucleotides) under uncultured bacterium. Its description in RNAcentral is "partial 16S ribosomal RNA". It matches the Rfam family "Bacterial small subunit ribosomal RNA", at positions 103 to 334 of the family's 1533-position model. The record is from RNAcentral.
CGGGUGAGUAAUGCUUGGGAAUCUAGCUUAUGGAGGGGGAUAACUACGGGAAACUGUAGCUAAUACCGCGUAGUAUCGGAAGAUGAAAGUGUGGGACCUUCGGGCCACAUGCCAUAGGAUGAGCCCAAGUGGGAUUAGGUAAUUGGUGAGGUAAAGGCUCACCAAGCCGACGAUCUCUAGCUGGUCUGAGAGGAUGACCAGCCACACUGGGACUGAGACACGGCCCAG